This 468-nucleotide ribosomal RNA is filed under the name uncultured bacterium. RNAcentral's name for it is "partial 16S ribosomal RNA". It matches the Rfam family "Bacterial small subunit ribosomal RNA", at positions 28 to 507 of the family's 1533-position model. The record is from RNAcentral.
GACGAACGCUGGCGGCGUGCUUAACACAUGCAAGUCGAACGGUGAUGCUCCAGCUUGCUGGCGUGGAUCAGUGGCGAACGGGUGAGUAACACGUGAGCAACCUGCCCCAGACUCUGGAAUAAGCGCUGGAAACGGCGUCUCAUACUGGAUACGAAACUGGCCCGCAUGGGCAUGGUUUGGAAAGUUUUUCGGUUUGGGAUGGGCUCGCGGCCUAUCAGCUUGUUGGUGAGGUAAUGGCUCACCAAGGCGACGACGGGUAGCCGGCCUGAGAGGGCGACCGGCCACACUGGGACUGAGACACGGCCCAGACUCCUACGGGAGGCAGCAGUGGGGAAUAUUGCACAAUGGGCGAAAGCCUGAUGCAGCGACGCCGCGUGAGGGAUGACGGCCUUCGGGUUGUAAACCUCUUUCAGCAGGGAAGAAGCGAAAGUGACGGUACCUGCAGAAGAAGCACCGGCUAACUACGUG